UCCCAGCUGCCCUGCUCUUUUGCAGCAGUCUGGAGUUGGGGCUGCAGCUCAGCUCUGGUGCAGAGUCCCUAAUGUGAUAACAUUACAAGGAAUUAUCAAGUGAAUGCACCUGGCUUAGAGAGCUCCAAGAAGGCAAGUGAGUGCAAAAAAGGAAGGCAAGGAGCUGCUGGUUUAUGAAAUUAAAAAGUUCAUGGGUGCCAAAUCCAUGCGCUAGGAAGAAUCUGAAGAGAUGGAAGAAGUCUCAGCAACGUUUUAUCAGCAGAGCCUCAUCUCUUUCACGUCCUCAAAGGAAAAACGUCCUUUCACCACUGAAGGCUGGGAGCAUUGAUACCAGUGCUGCUAGAUGCUGGGGGCAAGAGCGAUGUGGUCUGGUCCUGUGGAUGCUGGUGCUGCGUGGAGAUGCUUGGAAACCCUGCUUUGGGGCCAGCUGCAAUGCUUCCUUUCAAUGGUUCCUUGAGAAGAUGACAGUGGAAAAGCCAGCCCUGACAUGGCAGAUCUGGAAUGGAAAGUGAAGGUGUUCCUUUGCAAGCAUCAAAACAGUUUCAACUUUACCAAAAAUGCUUCUCCUGAAUUAUUGGGUCUUUAAAUCAAAAUACCUUCUCAGUAGAUGCAAUAAUGCUGGAGAAAAAGUGAUAGAGCAUGGAAAACAUCCUCAUGUCCUUAAUGAUCCUUAUGGGUCCCUUCCAACAUGGGGUGUUCCAUGAUCUACAUGAGUUCUGUAGGAUGGAAGGGAAUGCUGCACAUGGGAAUGUAAGGAGGAACAGUUAUUUGCACAGCUCUUUGAGAUCCUUGAAGGAAAACCCUGGAGAGAUAUAAGGUAUUAUUACAAGGGCUGUAAGUUCUUUUCAGGCAGUUAAAGGGAUAAUAAAUUCAUUGCCCAGGAGAUUGGGUAGUUUAAGUUCUGUGCAGAAUAUGGUAAAAAGGUAAGGCUGCUGCAGACCGGGGGCUUAAAGGCUGAUGCUGAGCAGGAGGGCAGUGCAGGCUGGGUUAUCCUGGUUCUGGGUUAAAGCCAGUGGGAUCAAAGAGGAGUCUGAGAGGAGUCGGUGCAUUCCAUGUGCGUGGAUCCCAUCGCCAUGGAUGGGGCUGAGCUGCUGGGUGGGUGCGUGGGGCUGGGAGCAGCAGCACGGCCCUGGGGAUGUGUGCUUCUGGAGCUGGAGGAAGGGCUGUCCUCCCAGCAAUUUGUCGGCAUUUAAUUAUGUUGUAGUGAAACAGUUUGGCCCGAGCUCUCAUUUGAAUUUCCCUGCCUUCAUCUCGCAGUCAUCGGGCUCUCCUCGUGUCUCUGGUGGCAGAUUAACGAGGCCUUUAUUACCUGCCAUUGUCUCCCCGUGAAGGUUUUUAUCUCUUCCAGUCAAGUCACUUCUCCAUCUCUGAUAAACUAACGGAUGGAGCUCUCAUGUCUCCCCGGGGAGUGAUGGAUCAGUGCUCUCUGUACACUGUAUCCUCCAUUGCUCUGCACUGGGGGAAGCUUUCCGCUCCACGUUCUGCCCUUCUUUGUUGCCAUACAUCUCUCCUCAGAUCUUUGGGCUUCCUGCACAUUACAUCAGUAUUAAUUUGAUUUUUCGUAUCAAGAUUAUGGAGGAAAAUUGAGUCCAAGCCUGGAAAUGUGGAAGAAGCACCGCUUGUGCCUCCCACCCUCGUGCAGUGAUUCCUCUUCCCAAGGAGCCGCCAGAAAGCUGCUGCUUAAUCCAUUUAACACGUGCUCUGCUGAUAUCGUAUAGAGCUAAUUUUUUAAUCAGAAGGUUGCGAGAUACAAAGUCAAACCUCUUACAACAGCCUAAAUAUAUUACAUCUCUGCAGCUACCCUUAUCAACCGGACCCGUAAUCUGAUCAAAGAAGGAAAUCAGAUUUGUCCGACAAGACCUAUUUUCCAUGAAAGCCGCGUUGACUGAUGUUAAUUAUAUUUCUCGCCUUUAAUUCUUUAUCACUUGGAUCGUGUAUCAACUUCUGCUUCGCCGGGGCCAGACGUCUGCUGUCCUCGAUUCCCUGGUUUGGCCACCAGAAGGGUGGAUGUGGUUCAUGGGGAUGGGUUGGGGUUGGAACUGGGGGAUCUCGGAGCUCUUUUCCAACCUCCUCCACCGUUCCCACUGAAUGCAAAGGAGAUCAAUCCGUCUUUGCCAACGGUGGUGCAAAUCUGCUGCGCCCCUGCAGUCCCCAUAUUGCUUUCCCUGGGAGCUCCCAUGCACCAGCAGCAAUCUGCUGCCUGCCAGAGCUCCGGAUUUUCCUACCUCUCCUGAUAAGAACUAACCCAGCGUUUUACAACUGUAUAUCUGAAAUUAGUAGCAGCUUAAUCUCCCUCUGCUGGAUCACUCAGAGGUGUAAUUGUGCAGAAAAAAAGGGUAUUAAAAUGCAAAACGCUUUCCUGGUACUUUUUCAUGUUAAAUCCCUUCUUCCUUCUAUUCUUUUAAUUUUACAAGAGGGUUUUUGCUAUUUUUUCCCCCUUUUUCCCCACAUGCAUGUGUCUGUGUUUCUUCAUAAAGAGAAUGAGCUGGGCAUACAGAGAGAAUAAUUUCAAUUUCGACAUAAAUCUCAGAAAUGAAUACUUAAAUGCAAGCAGAAAAAAAAAUAAUACAUUCUUACACCUUUAAUUUCCUCUCUAUGAAGUAUAAUGAAAAAGCCUGAUUAUUUUUAAUUCUUCCCUUUAAUAAUUCAGCAGCGGAGUGAUUUAAAGCAGGGGACGAUAAUUACCUUUUCACUUCCCUGGUAAAUGGAGUUUUAAUAGAAAUGGAAGCUCAAACGCUGGAAUUA
Lagopus muta (rock ptarmigan) is the source of this 2745-nucleotide long non-coding RNA. RefSeq lists it as uncharacterized. The record is from RefSeq and is a predicted model, not a curated record. NCBI's taxonomy places the organism in Eukaryota, Metazoa, Chordata, Aves, Galliformes, Phasianidae. The transcript is spliced from 3 exons.